UACGUAGGAAGCGAGCGUUGUCCGGAUUUACUGGGCGUAAAGGGCGUGUAGGCGGAGCGGCGCAUCCCGGAGUAAAUCUAUCGGCUCAACUGAUAGGCUUUCUGGGAGAUGGCCGCCCUUGAGGACAGCAGAGGAAAGUGGAAUUCCCGGUGUAGCGGUGGAAUGCGUAGAGAUCCGGAAGAACACCGGUGGCGAAGGCAGCUUACUGGGCUGUAACUGACGCUGAUGCACGAAAGUGUGGGGAUCAAACAGG
Molecule: ribosomal RNA, 253 nt
Filed under: uncultured bacterium
Lineage: Bacteria
Description: partial 16S ribosomal RNA
Rfam family: Bacterial small subunit ribosomal RNA
Source: RNAcentral